GCCAGCUGUGGUGGCGCACUCCUGUAAUCCCAGUGGCUCGGGAGGCUGAGACAGGAGGAUAGCAAGUUUAAAGCCAGCCUCAGCAAAAGUGAGGCACUAAGCAACUCAGUGAGACCCUGUCUCUA
This 125-nucleotide small RNA is filed under the name Marmota monax (woodchuck). The record is from RNAcentral. Lineage: Eukaryota; Metazoa; Chordata; Mammalia; Rodentia; Sciuridae.